UGGGGCAUAUUGGACAAUGGGCGAAAGCCUGAUCCAGCAAUGCCGCGUGAGUGAUGAAGGCCUUAGGGUUGUAAAGCUCUUUUACCCGGGAUGAUAAUGACAGUACCGGGAGAAUAAGCCCCGGCUAACUCCGUGCCAGCAGCCGCGGUAAUACGGAGGGGGCUAGCGUUGUUCGGAAUUACUGGGCGUAAAGCGCACGUAGGCGGCUUUGUAAGUUAGAGGUGAAAGCCCGGGGCUCAACUCCGGAAUUGCCUUUAAGACUGCAUCGCUAGAAUUGUGGAGAGGUAAGUGGAAUUCCGAGUGUAGAGGUGAAAUUCGUAGAUAUUCGGAAGAACACCAGUGGCGAAGGCGACUUACUGGACACAUAUUGACGCUGAGGUGCGAAAGCGUGGGGAGCAAACA
RNAcentral lists this ribosomal RNA (402 nucleotides) under uncultured Sphingomonas sp. RNAcentral's name for it is "bacterial SSU rRNA". It matches the Rfam family "Bacterial small subunit ribosomal RNA", at positions 355 to 774 of the family's 1533-position model. The record is from RNAcentral. Lineage: Bacteria; Pseudomonadati; Pseudomonadota; Alphaproteobacteria; Sphingomonadales; Sphingomonadaceae.